This 255-nucleotide ribosomal RNA is filed under the name uncultured bacterium. RNAcentral describes it as "partial 16S ribosomal RNA". It matches the Rfam family "Bacterial small subunit ribosomal RNA", at positions 524 to 777 of the family's 1533-position model. The record is from RNAcentral.
UACGUAGGGUGCAAGCGUUGUCCGGAAUCACUGGGCUUAAAGGGCGCGUAGGCGGUCGACCAAGUCCGGGGUGAAAUCUUUCGGCUUAACCGGAAAAGUGCCUUGGAUACUGGUCGGCUGGAGGGAGGUAGGGGCAGGUGGAACUUCCAGUGGAGCGGUGAAAUGCGUUGAUAUUGGAAGGAACGCCGGUGGCGAAAGCGACCUGCUGGACCUCUUCUGACGCUGAGGCGCGAAAAGCUAGGGGAGCAAACGGGG